GUAGGUGGCAAGCGUUGUCCGGAAUUAUUGGGCGUAAAGCGCGCGCAGGCGGUUCUUUAAGUCUGAUGUGAAAGCCCACGGCUCAACCGUGGAGGGUCAUUGGAAACUGGAGAGCUUGAGUACAGAAGAGGAAAGCGGAAUUCCACGUGUAGCGGUGAAAUGCGUAGAGAUGUGGAGGAACACCAGUGGCGAAGGCGGCUUUCUGGUCUGUAACUGACGCUGAGGCGCGAAAGCGUGGGGAGCAAACAGGAUUAGAUACCCUGGUAGUCCACGCCGUAAACGAUGAGUGCUAAGUGUUAGGGGGGUUUCCGCCCCCCUUAGUGCUGCAGCUAACGCAUUAAGCACUCCGCCCUGGGAGUACGGCCGCAAGGCUG
RNAcentral lists this ribosomal RNA (374 nucleotides) under uncultured organism. Its description in RNAcentral is "partial 16S ribosomal RNA". It matches the Rfam family "Bacterial small subunit ribosomal RNA", at positions 527 to 896 of the family's 1533-position model. The record is from RNAcentral.